This 422-nucleotide ribosomal RNA is filed under the name uncultured prokaryote. RNAcentral describes it as "bacterial SSU rRNA". It matches the Rfam family "Bacterial small subunit ribosomal RNA", at positions 338 to 774 of the family's 1533-position model. The record is from RNAcentral.
CCUACGGGAGGCUGCAAUUAGGAAUCUUGCGCAAUGGGCGAAAGCCUGACGCAGCGACGCCGCGUGACUGAUGAAGUCUUUCGGGAUGUAAAGGUCUUUUCUGGGGGAAGAAAAAAAUGACGGUACCCCAGGAAUAAGCCCCGGCUAACUACGUGCCAGCAGCCGCGGUAAUACGUAGGGGGCGAGCGUUGUCCGAAUUUACUGGGCGUAAAGCGCGCGUAGGCGGACUAUUAAGUUGGUGGUGAAAUCCCGAGGCUCAACCUCGGAACUGCCUCCAAAACUGCUAGUCUUGAGGUAUGGAGAGGAAAGUGGAAUUCCUGGUGUAGCGGUGAAAUGCGUAGAUAUCAGGAGGAACACCCAUGGCGAAGGCAGCUUUCUGGCCAUAUUCUGACGCUGAGGUGCGAAAGCUAGGGUAGCGAACG